RNA transcript from Humulus lupulus (European hop), 2021 nucleotides. It is a transcript of the gene named probable disease resistance protein At1g52660, with no coding region annotated. The record is from RefSeq and is a predicted model, not a curated record. The transcript has 4 exons. NCBI's taxonomy places the organism in Eukaryota, Viridiplantae, Streptophyta, Magnoliopsida, Rosales, Cannabaceae.
UUGGGUUGGGCUUCCACCUUUAUUUGGGUUCAGAACCAUCGUUUGUUUACUAUUGUUAAUGAAUGUAAUGUAGUGAAACACCCCUGGACAAUCCUUGAAAAUGGGUGGAAGUUUCCAGCUUCUUACUUGGUUCUUUCCAUGCUUUGAGGAGGAAAUGGGAUAUAGCUAGGAGGAAUAAAUAUUAUUGUUGCUUACCUUGCCCUUUCAGAGAAGAAAUACAAAAUUUUGAAACUCUAUGUGAAAAUCAGCAUCAAUGGUUAUGGAAUUUUGGGCACUUUUGUUAGGAGGGGUUUAUUUCCUUGAAAAAGUACCUGCAAAAGUUGAAUUGGUUAAGCAAUUAUGGGCAUACAUUCUAUUCUAUCCUGAAUGGAAAAAUUAUCUCAAAGAAGCUGAUGAUAAAGUAAAUUUUCUCGAAAGGAAACAAGAAAAAUUGAAUUGUCUAGAGGAAGACACUAAAGAGAAACUAAAAGACGCAGAGUUAAAAUCCGGAAAGAAGCGAAAGAGAGAGGUUGAUACUUGGUUGAGAAAUGUUGUGAUGAAGAGGAAAGAAGUUGAAGACAUAAAACAACAACAUGCUAAAAGAAAAUACUUCUUACAACCAUGGUUGGGAAAUCGUAUUGAUAGGAAUCUUGAAGAGAUGCAACAGCUUUGUGAGCAAGGCCAAUUUUCUGAGGGUUUAUUUCUUGAUGUGAUUCCAACUUAUGGAGAGCAAUUCGUGACAGGACCUUUGGUUGGUCAAAUCUCAAACCUGGAAACAAUUGGUCAAUGGUUGAAAUGUCUCCAAGUGUCAAGAAUUGGAGUUUAUGGUAAAAAGGGAGUUGGGAAAACAGCCAUCUUGACUCAUAUCCAUAAUGAACUCAUCCAAAGUAAGACUUUUGAUUGUGUUUUUUGGGUAAGUGCACCAGAGAAGUGUACUACUCACAAAUUGCAGGAUGUUAUAGCAAGACAAUUUGGGUUAAGUCUCUCUGAUGAAGAAGACACAAAGAUAAGGGCUGCCAAGUUGCAUAAAGCAAUGACACAAAGAAAGAAAUGUGUCAUUAUCUUGGAUGGUAUUGGGACACCUUUCAAAAAUGAAGAUGGGAUUCCUACACAACUAGAUGAUAAAAGCAAAUUGAUUCUGUGUACUGAAAGCUUGAGGAACUGCCAGCGGAUGCAAUGUCAGACUAGUCUUGAAAUAAAGCCACUUUCAAAUGACGAUGCCAUGACCUUGUUUAAGAAAAAAGUUUCCUCUAGCGAACCUCUUGAACCAAAGAUUGAAGAGAUUAUGGAUCAGAUUGUCCAACAUUGUCAAGGCUUGCCUCAGAAGAUUGUAGAACAAGCUGAGAUACUGAAGGGAGUGGAUGACAUAACUGAGUGGAGGAAUGCAUUGGCAGAAAUGACAGAGUCUAGAAAUGAGUCAUCUGAUUGAUUUGAUUACUUCAGCCAAGGAUUAAGUUCUAUGCUUGAAAACUAGAAAAGACUCCCUCGGCACUGGUGGGAAGAUAUGCGAAGUAGAAGAAUCACCCGGGGAAUUUUGGGACUCGAUUCGGCGAUUGGCGGGGCGGAGAAUCAAGAUGACACCGUUCGUAACCCAAGUGAGCGACCCAAUAAUUUGCUGGAAUUUCAAGAGGCGUAAGCAUAACCAUGAAACCACCGGCUGGGUCGUCGAGAUUUUUGAGACAUUCUGUCCAAGUCCGUUGGUCUAGCUCCUUCGUUCGAUGGCUAGAUCACAUAACAACCAACUCCCACCGUUCUUGUUCUAUUUGCUAGUCGAAGCUUCUGCCACCUCCACCAAAUUCACUAUGAUUGUACGGUGACGACCGGUACCGUGAACGUGAACAAGUGUUAUAUUAUUUUAUAAUAUAAUGUUUUAGAUUAAAUAAAUAAGACAAAUUGUCUUACAUAUUUUAACAUAUAUAAAAGAGACGUAUAAUAUUUGAAAAUAUGUGAAUAUUCAAAUAUUUGGAAAUAUAUAAAUAUUCAAAUAUGUAACAUAUUUGAUGUUAAAAAUUCAGUUACAAUUUUGUAACUUCCAAAUAUUA